Molecule: ribosomal RNA, 253 nt
Filed under: uncultured bacterium
Lineage: Bacteria
Description: partial 16S ribosomal RNA
Rfam family: Bacterial small subunit ribosomal RNA
Source: RNAcentral
UACGUAGGGUGCAAGCGUUGUCCGGAAUUAUUGGGCGUAAAGGGCGCGUAGGCGGCUUUGCAAGUGACGGGUGAAAUCCCUCGGCUUAACCGGGGAACUGCCUGUCAAACUGCAUGGCUUGAGACCGGGAGAGGUGGGUGGAAUUCCCAGUGUAGCGGUGAAAUGCGUAGAUAUUGGGAGGAACACCAGUGGCGAAGGCGGCUCACUGGACCGGUACUGACGCUGAGGCGCGAAAGCGUGGGUAGCAAACAGG